GGCCGGCGGCGGGCCGGACAGCCGCCCGGCGCUGCUGGCGGUGGGGGCGCUGAUGGUGAUGUCGACUUCAAUGUCGGGGCGGCCC
RNAcentral lists this transfer RNA (85 nucleotides) under Mycobacterium sp. MFM001. RNAcentral's name for it is "tRNA-Ser". Lineage: Bacteria; Bacillati; Actinomycetota; Actinomycetes; Mycobacteriales; Mycobacteriaceae. The record is from RNAcentral.